RNAcentral lists this ribosomal RNA (220 nucleotides) under uncultured bacterium. Its description in RNAcentral is "partial 16S ribosomal RNA". It matches the Rfam family "Bacterial small subunit ribosomal RNA", at positions 115 to 334 of the family's 1533-position model. The record is from RNAcentral.
GAAUCGCUAAUGUACCCCGGACUCUGGGAUAGCUAGCCGAAAGGUUAGGUAAUACCAGAUGACAUAUUCCUGCCGCAUGGCUGGGAAUCUCAAAGGUCCGCCGGUCUGGGAGCAGGCGAUUUCGUAUCAGCUAGUUGGUGAGGUAACGGCUCACCAAGGCGACGACGCGUAGCCGGACUGAGAGGUUGGCCGGCCACAUCGGGACUGAGACACUGCCCGG